ACAUCAUUGGCCCAUUAAUCUGAGCUGAGUAUUGUGGCGUGAGAUAAAUUUUAUCGCCUGUGUUUCAUAACAAGGACAAUGCCAGGUGUGUGAGACAAUAUUAAACGCAGACGGUUGUUUUGAUGACGUCAUGUGCUCGUCGAAAUGUUAUGAGGCCUUCGCUCGUCUUUUCGAUCAGUUACCAGAUACUAUCAAGUCCAGUGUCUCGAUACAUCGAUACAUAACAUAAACACAGCGCAUCUAGGUUCUACGUCAGAGCGCUGGCUUCUGCAAUGACGUGAGGGUUGGACAGAAAGGCUGUCUCAAGAACAUCCACUCAGCAUGUUGUUUCUAAACCAACCGUCCAUCUCUCUGCUUCACAACCUAUUUUGAUGCCCAGUGACCUGAGAAAGAAACUCAUACAGAUUUAGAAGAACAUGUGCAGGGCUGGAUUAUGGAUAGAGCCAGUAGGCCCAACGCCUCGGGACCUCGGAUUGCCAGGGGCCUCCAAAGCCUCAGGCUGCGCACCCCUAGACUGCCAAAAAAAAAGAAACUCAUGCAGGACUGGAAAAACUAGAGGGCGUAGUUCCAGGGCUUCCUGUGCCACCUGGGCAUCUUAAAGUCUGCCAGUCUGUCGGUACAGGAGACCCAGCUGGACCGAGGGCUGUGAUGGUGUGUUGGUGGAAUCAGUAAUGAAGAUUUAGUGCCAAGAACAUUAGCCGUCUUGAGCCUCAAACCCACCCAAGAGCCCCCAGGGUGCUCAACCUUGAGCUUGUUGCCCUCUAUGUGUUCGUGUCUCCAAUUGUUCACGGCGAGAUGUAUUUGUGCUCAUGUGGAGACUUGUUUUGAUAUA
This is a long non-coding RNA of Labeo rohita (rohu), 832 nucleotides long. RefSeq lists it as uncharacterized. The transcript is spliced from 6 exons. Lineage: Eukaryota; Metazoa; Chordata; Actinopteri; Cypriniformes; Cyprinidae. The record is from RefSeq and is a predicted model, not a curated record.